RNAcentral lists this ribosomal RNA (162 nucleotides) under Terminalia catappa (Indian almond). Its description in RNAcentral is "5.8S ribosomal RNA". It matches the Rfam family "5.8S ribosomal RNA". Rfam says of the family: 5.8S ribosomal RNA (5.8S rRNA) is a component of the large subunit of the eukaryotic ribosome. It is transcribed by RNA polymerase I as part of the 45S precursor that also contains 18S and 28S rRNA. The record is from RNAcentral. Lineage: Eukaryota; Viridiplantae; Streptophyta; Magnoliopsida; Myrtales; Combretaceae.
UAAACGACUCUCGGCAACGGAUAUCUCGGCUCUCGCAUCGAUGAAGAACGUAGCGAAAUGCGAUACUUGGUGUGAAUUGCAGAAUCCCGUGAACCAUCGAGUCUUUGAACGCAAGUUGCGCCCGAAGCCUUGGCUGAGGGCACGUCUGCCUGGGUGUCACGC